RNAcentral lists this ribosomal RNA (374 nucleotides) under uncultured organism. RNAcentral's name for it is "bacterial SSU rRNA". It matches the Rfam family "Bacterial small subunit ribosomal RNA", at positions 527 to 896 of the family's 1533-position model. The record is from RNAcentral.
CGGGGGAGCAAGCGUUGUUCGGAUUUACUGGGCGUAAAGGGCGCGUAGGCGGCCACUGCAAGUCGGUUGUGAAAUCUCCGGGCUUAACCCGGAAAGGUCAAUCGAUACUGCAGGGCUAGAGUGCAGAAGGGGCAACUGGAACUCUCGGUGUAGCGGUGAAAUGCGUAGAUAUCGAGAGGAACACCUGCGGCGAAGGCGGGUUGCUGGGCUGACACUGACGCUGACAGCGCGAAAGCUAGGGGAGCGAACGGGAUUAGAUACCCCGGUAGUCCUAGCCUUAAACGAUGAAUGCUUGGUGUCUGGGGUUUUAUAGUCCCCGGGUGCCGUCGCUAACGCUUUAAGCAUUCCGCCUGGGGAGUACGGUCGCAAGACUG